Brassica napus (rape) is the source of this 1810-nucleotide long non-coding RNA. RefSeq lists it as uncharacterized. The record is from RefSeq and is a predicted model, not a curated record. Lineage: Eukaryota; Viridiplantae; Streptophyta; Magnoliopsida; Brassicales; Brassicaceae. The transcript has 2 exons.
AAUACCACUGCUGCCCCUGUCCCCUAUACACAAAGCUUAUUAAUUUAUUUUUCUAUUUUUCAGUAUUUUCAUUUUUUAAUUGUUUUAUCAUUUGUUUUUUCUCUCUCUCAGAACAGAUCGAAGAGAGAAGCCGGUGAUGUUAAAUGGAAAUCUAAGUUUGGGGAGUUUCAACUUUCAAGAGCUGAGUCAUUAUCGCAUGAAGAUGUCUCCGUAACAUCUCUUUUUCCACUUACACUCUAAGCGUAUGGUCCUGUGAAAUCACCGUCGCCGAAAACUGGCUAACAGAAUCUGAACCGGUCGAGGAUUGAAGACGAAACCAUAUCGGUGAUGGCCAAGCGCCGUCGUCUACGGCGGGACUGAACGGAAGAGAGAUAGAUCUCAGGAAUAGUGAACCAUAUAUUGAUGGGGCUGGUACUGAACCUGACCAUGUGAUUAGAACAACAGUUCGUGGUUGGAUUAUUAUAGAAAAUGUAUGCAAAAAGUAUGGAAUCCCCAAGAAAUUCACUUUUAUGUGUUCGAAUUUAAUGUAAAAUUUGGUGUGUUUAGAGUUAAAUGAUGAAAUUUUGUAAAAUAACAAGUUUUCAGUAGUGAUGUAAUUAUGUGAAAUAACCGGUUAAUAAAUUUCACUUGUUUUUUUUUUGCUAUAAUGAUAACCGGCUACUCUCCGAAAUGCACAACUAACAAUAAUAUUAUCCGGAUAAUUAAUAUGCAUUAUUUAGCUUAUUGGAUAUGAUACUAAUUUUUGGGUCUAAAUCUAUAAUAACAACUGACUAUUGAUUGAAAAAUUCAACUAACAAUAACAAUGACCGGAUAAUUAUAUAUGUUUGUCCACCACUAAUUUAAAUAACCAACAACCAUUCAAAAUAACUGGAUAACUGGUUUGUUAGCUGAACAAAUCAAAACAUAACCAUUCUAUUUACAUCCAACAAUCUAUACUUCAGACAUUUUAUAUAAAUCGGUUAGUCACUGGUUCAAUCAUACAUAGCUAUAUUUUAAAUAUUAUUCAUUUACUAAUUAACAUAACCACCAUCAACUCCAAUAGCCGGUAGUUUUAACUCAAAACAUUAGUUAAUAUGCAAAUUAUACGGAUAAACUGAAAUAUAACCAUGCUAAUUUAUAAAAAUAUAAAAAUUACAUUUUAACUGUACUAAUUUACGUAUUAACUAUAUGAUUUAAUAUUUAUUAGCCGGCUAAAAUAAAGUCAAAAUAAAAUCAAAGAAAAUAAGUACAAAAACAUAUAUUUGUUAGCCAGCUAAAUUAGUUUAACAGCUUGAAACAUAUUUGUUGGCCGUUUAAACUAAUUUAAUAAACUAUAAACAUAUUUGUUAGCCGGCUAAGCUAAUUUAACACUAAUAUUUUUGACAGCUAUAAAAAUUGUAAGAUAUUCACAAAAACACAACUAAGGAAAAAUACCAAAUAAAAAUACAGGAAGAGAGCUACGCUAAUAGAAAAGUAUGUCAAGUACAUAGCGACUUUCUCUUCUUGACAUGUCACCAAACAACCUCAUAAGCCUGCAACAGAAGCUAUGAAAGUAAACCCAGAAAGAAGCUAGCUAACAUUGUACUCUACAGACUGAAUCUUCAAUAAGAUACAACAACUGAUUAUCGGAGAGCUGUUUCUGGUGGUGCGCCGCCGCUGCGCUAGAUCUCUAUUUUCCGUUCAUUGUCGUUCAACCAUGAAUCACAGCUUUUAUCUCUUAGCAUGAAUCAGAGCCACAAAUGAAUCUUCUAAUUGGAUGUCUGUUAAGCUGUUAAUCAAAGCUUGCUUUUUUAUUUCUAUGUCGUCUCCUUCUCUCUCUCCAUUGAUGAAA